GUGUGAUGCUACAUUUUAACAACUGAAUUUAGGGCAAUCACAUAUUACUAUAGAACUGUAUAUUAUACUUAACAUGUUUAAUUAUUUCAAAUUAAUUUUGCUUUGUUACGAGUUCCUUGAGUUCAUGAAAGCCUUCAUGAUUUGCCUGGAUGUUGUCGUUUGGUGUUACACUACAGCAUCCUGUUGAAGAAACAACCUCUGCAAAUACAACAGAACCCAUAUACAACACACCCUAAGAAGUAAUAACUUUCUGAAAUCUAGUCAUUCAGAUCUCAGUCACCCUGCUGGAUCUCCAGUGGUCCACUUGUGACAGUAUUGCAAUCUUCUCCGUGUGCUGUGACCUUGACGUGGUGGAGAAGCUUGAGGUCCUCCGGCACUUGGAGAACUAUGAGAGCAGGUUCAAACACAAAAUCACAACUAGGAGGACAAACUAACAACAGCAAGUUUUUUUGUAGCAGCUCCAGAGACAUGCAUGGACAGCAAUAUCAUUAAAAGACUCACUCAUCCCUGACACAACAACAAAUAGACAGCAUUUGAAAUAACAUACUGCAAGAGGGCCAACUACAUAUGUAGGGAGACCAGGGCUAGUGCACACUUUUCUCAGUGACUGUUUACUAGGGUUGUAUUUCAAAGUCAGUGUGGUCAAUUGAUGGUAAAAAGUGAUUCAUGAAACAGCUGAAAUUAAAAAGGUCACAUACACGUACAAAUAUCAGUUUACAAAUCAGCCUCAAUUGCCCCAAAAGUACGUUUUAAUAUAUAUUGCACUUUGUGUUGUACAAUAUUGUUUCUAACAGCAGUUCGCUUAACCUUAUUUGAACAUUAAGAACAACAUUUUUCUGCUUGCUUACUUCACUGUGUAUAUAAUGCACAUCCACUAAUGUCAGAUUGGCUGCCCUAUGUUUUAAAUUUCAUUUAUAAUUUUCUGCUCAUAAAUACAGUAGCCCUAAAAAGUAUUUGGACACGUUUGGGCCCUUAAGCCGCGCUUACAAUGUAUAAAUUAUAUUUUAUA
This 1009-nucleotide long non-coding RNA is filed under the name Sinocyclocheilus anshuiensis. RNAcentral's name for it is "lncRNA (ENSSANG00000003672.1)". The record is from RNAcentral. Lineage: Eukaryota; Metazoa; Chordata; Actinopteri; Cypriniformes; Cyprinidae.